Molecule: unclassified non-coding RNA, 247 nt
Filed under: Hevea brasiliensis (rubber tree)
Lineage: Eukaryota; Viridiplantae; Streptophyta; Magnoliopsida; Malpighiales; Euphorbiaceae
Source: RNAcentral
GCAGCAAUCACUAAGCAAAAGAAAAAUAUAUAAUACUUCCUAUAGUCUAUAGCCAUCCUCUACUUGAUGAAAUGAUAAAGCAGAGUACAGGUACAUGUCACGGGGAGGUGAAAGGAUGAUGACGAUAAGGCAACUUUCACCAGCUGCUGCUGUACAAAAAUGUCCAUUUGACUGCUGCUUCUGUAUAAUGAAUCAGUUGCCCCAGAGUUAUAUCACACAAAACGUAGCUGAUCCUAUGUAUUAUGGA